GAUGAACGCUGGCGGCGUGCUUAACACAUGCAAGUCGAACGGAAAGGCCCAAGCUUGCUUGGGUACUCGAGUGGCGAACGGGUGAGUAACACGUGGGUGAUCUGCCCUGCACUUUGGGAUAAGCCUGGGAAACUGGGUCUAAUACCGGAUAGGACCAUCGUUUAGUGUCGGUGGUGGAAAGUUUUUCGGUGUGGGAUGAGCUCGCGGCCUAUCAGCUUGUUGGUGGGGUAAUGGCCUACCAAGGCGUCGACGGGUAGCCGGCCUGAGAGGGUGUACGGCCACAUUGGGACUGAGAUACGGCCCAGACUCCUACGGGAGGCAGCAGUGGGGAAUAUUGCACAAUGGGCGCAAGCCUGAUGCAGCGACGCCGCGUGGGGGAUGACGGCCUUCGGGUUGUAAACUCCUUUCGCCAAGGACGAAGCGUUUUGUGACGGUACUUGGAGAAGAAGCACCGGCUAACUACGUG
RNAcentral lists this ribosomal RNA (466 nucleotides) under uncultured bacterium. RNAcentral describes it as "partial 16S ribosomal RNA". It matches the Rfam family "Bacterial small subunit ribosomal RNA", at positions 28 to 507 of the family's 1533-position model. The record is from RNAcentral.